This 1208-nucleotide ribosomal RNA is filed under the name uncultured organism. RNAcentral describes it as "partial 16S ribosomal RNA". It matches the Rfam family "Bacterial small subunit ribosomal RNA", at positions 271 to 1476 of the family's 1533-position model. The record is from RNAcentral.
AGACUGUGAUGGGUAGGGGUUCUGAGAGGAUUAUCCCCCACACUGGUACUGAGACACGGACCAGACUCCUACGGGAGGCAGCAGUAAGGAAUAUUGGGCAAUGGACGCAAGCCUGACCCAGCCAUGCCGCGUGCAGGAUGACGGCCUUAUGGGUUGUAAACUGCUUUUGUAUGGGAUUAAAGUGUUGUACGUGUACGACAUUGCAAGUACCAUACGAAUAAGCAUCGGCUAACUCCGUGCCAGCAGCCGCGGUAAUACGGAGGAUGCAAGCGUUAUCCGGAAUCAUUGGGUUUAAAGGGUGCGUAGGUUGAUUAUUAAGUCAGUGGUGAAAAUUCCGGGCUCAACCCGGGACUUGCCGUUGAAACUGAUAAUCUUGAGUGUAACUGAUGUGGGCGGAAUGUGUCAAGUAGCGGUGAAAUGCAUAGAUAUGACACAGAACACCGAUAGCGAAGGCAGCUCACAAAAUUACAACUGACACUGAGGCACGAAAGCGUGGGUAUCAAACAGGAUUAGAUACCCUGGUAGUCCACGCUGUAAACGAUGAUCACUAGCUGUUUGCGAUACAUUGUAAGUGGUUAAGCGAAAGCGAUAAGUGAUCCACCUGGGGAGUACGUCGGCAACGAUGAAACUCAAAGGAAUUGACGGGGGCCCGCACAAGCGGUGGAGCAUGUGGUUUAAUUCGACGCAACGCGAAGAACCUUACCUGGACUUGACAUCUCGGGAAUUCCGUUGAAAGACGGGAGUGCCUUUAACGAGGAAUCCGAUGACAGGUGCUGCAUGGCUGUCGUCAGCUCGUGUCGUGAGAUGUUGGGUUAAGUCCCGCAACGAGCGCAACCCCUAUCUUCAGUUACCAUCAGGUGAUGCUGGGGACUUUGGAGAUACUGCCCCGGUUAACAGGGAGGAAGGUGGGGAUGACGUCAAGUCCUCAUGGCCUUUAUGUCCAGGGCUGCACACGUGCUACAAUGGUAUGUACAAAGGGAAGCGAUCCCGCGAGGAGGAGCUAAUCCCAAAAAGCAUAUCAAAGUUCGGAUCGGAGUCUGCAACUCGACUCCGUGAAGUUGGAAUCGCUAGUAAUCGCGGAUCAGCAUGCUGCGGGGAUACGUUCCCGGGCCUUGUACACACCGCCCGUCACACCAUGAGAGUUGGCUGUACCAGAAGUCGUUGGGCUAACCCGCAAGGGGGUAGGCGCCUAAGUAUGGUUGAUGAUU